Non-coding RNA from Peromyscus maniculatus bairdii (prairie deer mouse), 4181 nucleotides. The record is from RefSeq and is a predicted model, not a curated record. Lineage: Eukaryota; Metazoa; Chordata; Mammalia; Rodentia; Cricetidae.
AACCUUCUCUGGAAUGCUGUGUUAUGUUGGGCUGUGACUUCUAUGGAAUUCAAUUCCCAUUUACCAAGGGCUCCCACUUAUUUUAAUAUAUGUUAGGAAAUAAAGAAGAAAGGCAAGCAGCUCAUUUAGGUUGUGAGUUAGGCUUUGCCAAAUAGCAAAGGCCAAAGAAGAUGUUAAGCUUAAACUUAAUCUGAUUAGCAUCCAGUUUUUCCAGUUGAAGAACUGGAGGAAGUGGGGAACCCAGCCCGGGGAUACAACGUGGCAUCCAUGAUGCUUUGGCCCUCGGUCCUGCUUUGCCUGCACUGUGCUGAGAAGAACUCUCUCUGACCUGGCCUUCAGUUCCCAUCCAACUUGCUGUGAGCUUGUAUUCUCCACAUCUGUCCAGACUCUAUGUAUUAAGAGAUGAACUUCUGCUUGGCCUCCCCACCCAAGUCCUCAGCUCCAUGCAUGGUGAAGAUUACCGGGGUUUUAAACUCAGAGUUCAGGCUGGAGAGAUGACUCAGCCGUUAAAGGCUAGGCUCACAACCAAAAAUAUAAACUCAAAGUUCUUGGUAUUACUCUGGUAUCUCUCUUUUCUAUUCCAGUCUUUGGCUGCAUGAGAAGCACAUGGAAUAGCAUAUAAUUCCCAAAGUUUUUCUUCUAUAAGAUAGUGGCAAGAGAUCCAAAUAAUUUAAGCUCUGAGGUGAACUCUAUGAAAUAAAUGGUACCCUCCAUACUCUGCUCCCAUCCUCCUCAUUAGCAGGUUGUCCUGGAUAGACCAUUGAGUUCCCGGGAUGGGUAGGUCCAAGCUGUGCGGAAACGUGCUGCGUCUUAUGUUCUUAUCUGUCCUAGGUAGUUAUGUCCCCUCUAAAAGACAGGAGUCACAUGAUCACCUGGAGAAGCUGACGGCCACAAUGAUGUGCUCCCAGCUCUGAAGAAAUCACAGCAGAAGGAAUGGGUCAUGUUAUGGGAAAAUCAUCAGCAAAAAUCAGUUCUAUACACCAGGGAGAGAUUUUUAACAAAGAGAAGAGAAACAAAGAGGUUCUCUUGGGUCCAAAGCAGCUCACAAGGCCGUGCUGCUGACGGUGUCGUAAACGACAGCUGGAAACCAACCCAGGCAGAACCCUGACUGGCAAACGGAAGGACUGCUAUCACGGAACCGAAACAGAGACCUAAACCCAGCAUUCCUCAGGAAUCUCACGAGGCAGGUUCCUGUCUGUCAGGAAGGCCAUUACUUUCCUCAUCUGUCCCCAGUGGUCAACCACCUUAGACAAAGGGCAUCUAGUUCCUGAUUAACUCGAAAGGCCCCCAGGGUAGCUCCCCGGCUCUUCUGGACUGCACCCCUCUGCUGGCUGCUACCAGUCCCCAUAAAAGCGACAGGGCUUUUCCAGCAGGGUGCUGUUCUCCAUUCCCUGGCAGUUUGUGUUCCACAAGAGCUUUCCUUUCUACCCAUGGGGUGGUCUAGUUUGGUGGUUUCACUGUGCCUCGCUUCCAGGUUCCAGGUUCUCUUCCCUUCUGCCUACAUUUCUUAGUAUGUCCCGUAGGAUAAGUCAUAAGAGAAGGUGUGUGUGUGUGUGUGUGUGUGUGUGUGUGUGUGUGUGUGUGUGUGUGUGGUGUGUGUACAAAGAAAGCAGCUGUAAAAUGGAAAUAGAGAUUUCUAUCCUGAUCAAAGAAAGACCGUGCAGAGGUCCGACACAGACCGCCCUUGAAGAACAGCGCAGUGAUGGCAACAGAGCUCAAGCGCUGAGUACCAUAAGGGAACAGUAAUUGUGAAAUACAGCAGCUUUCAGGCAUUUCAACAAGGAAUGCUGAGGCCUUUCAAUCCAUAGCUCUUCCAUCCAAAACUGCCUUAUAACAUCUGACUUCAAUGCUCCGGUUAAAGUGGCAAAUAACAGUUUCUGGAGAAACCAUCACCACAUUGACCCUGACCCGACAGUAGAAGCUGUCUGAAUUUUGAUGAGCAGAACCUGUGCAAGGCCAAGCAGUGAGAAACACAGUCAGUAACCCAACAAGGUGGAUGCUGUGAGGGAGGCUCUGGAAGCCUCGCCUGCCACAAUCAGAGGGAUGCUCUUAGAUGGAAGGACCAAAGACAGUGCCUACAAUCAGAAUCCCAGAGAGUGCUGUGUGGCAGUCACUCAUGUGAAGAAGUCGGUGCUCUCCUGCAUGUAAAUAUCAGGGCUCAAGAAAAGAGGAGGAAAGCCAAUUAGUAGAUGUGAUGUGUGAACUGGAUUCGGCAGCAAACCAAGGCCGCCCACGCCUCUUGUGUCUUCAACGACUUACUAGUGAACAACGUAACAACACUAGCCUGAUAACCACAGGUCUGAGAUGAAAGGAACGCUGGCUAAAGAUGUAUUAUUCUAAGAAAGAUAAACUACUCUUGGCUGAUUCCAGCCUGUCUUCCACACAUCAGGAUUGUGUAAGGCUCUGGCACAUGCGUCGCAUGGUACAUCAAGCACAGGAAGCCUUACUUUUUUUUUUUUUGUUUGUUUGGUUUUUCGAGACAGGGUUUCUCUGUGUAGCUUUGCACCUUUCCUGGGACUCACUUGGUAGCCCAGGCUGGCCUCGAACUCACAGAGAUCCGCCUGGCUCUGCCUCCCAAGUGCUGGGAUUAAAGGCGUGCGCCACCACCGCCCGGCUAUGGAAGCCUUACUUUUUCUCUUGGGAAAAUAUUGCUCCGGCAAUAAUCUCUGGGGCUGGGAAACACUGGUCCCUUCCCCACUCGGUACUGGUUUGGGGCAUGUCUGCUGUAAGGUUACCCAUUCUGCUCUAUUCACCUUCAUGAAGCAUUUGCCAUGUGUGUGUGUUUGGGGCAGGAAGCAAAAGAAACACAAACAAGACCAAAACCCCUAGGAACCGGCAAAACAUCAUAAAACGUACCUUGUUCCCUACUUCUGCAGAGACAAAGGCCGGCAGACUUGUGAGCCUCUGGCAGCCCUUAGGUGGUUUAGAAUCCCCCUCCCACCACUAGUUUUGAAAGCUCUUCUUGGCUUAGUCUCAUUUUUUCCACCCUUUCUUCAUAUCUACAUUCACACUAUCAGAGGCCUAGUUUGUCCCCUAGAAAUUCAGGUCCUCUGGGGCUUCAGCACCUGAACCACCUCAGACCAGUAGGAGAAGGUAGAGAGGAAAACUUCAGAGCCCAGCUGCUGGGCUGGCUGGAAGCCUGGCCUGCUCUCUUCAGAGGAAGAGGCCUGAAACUUUAGGAUCUGACCUCUUGUUGUCUGGCUUGUCUCUUCCUUCACUAUUCCUAAGAGGCACAACAGGUCUGCUCAGGCUCCCAUGACUCCAUCCUCCAGUACUUGACCCGUGGCUGCAGACUGAGAGAAUUGUGCCUGUCGCAGUUUCCAAGACGACAUUUUGGCUGCAUAAAGACUGUGUCUCUGCAGCUGCUUCCAGCCUCCAAAACGACCAGCCUUCAAAACCUGCCAGAGAUGUCGUUCCCAUUGGAGACUUCUUUCUGCAGAUUUCUACAAGGGACUGCUCUUGACUGGCACUCUGGGGUCAUCCAAGAACUUUCCAGCUGUAACCCUGCUGGGGAUCUGAACUUGGGUCCUCAUGCCUGUCUAACAGAUACAUAACCAGCUAAACUAUCUCCCCAGUCCCCUGUAAAGCACUACCAUAGUCACACACACACACACACACACACACACACACACACACACACACACCAUGAAGUCAGUUUGGAAAUUUUGUCUUUAGUUCCUAAUAGUAUGUAUGAAAUAAAGUUUAAGCUGGUGGUGGUAGUACAUGCCUUUAAUCCCAACCCUCAGAAGGCAGAGGCAGGUGGAUCUCUGUGAGUUCGAGGCCAACCUGGUCUACAGAGUGAGUUCCAGGACAGCCAAGGCUACAUAGAGAAACCCUGUCUUGAAAAAAAAAAAAAAAAAAAAAAGAAGACAAAGCUUUUCAAUCAUAAUCCCCUAACAACAUAUGGAGCUGGAACCUGUGUAGUCAAAACUGAAAACUACCAAACUCAAAAAGAACUCAAGUUGUUUUGUUGUCUUAUUUUUGAGACAGAAUAUCAAAAACUUAGUUUAGGCUGGCCUGGAACUUACUGUUUAGCCCAGACAGACCUGAAACUCACAAUCCUCUUGCCUCAACCUCCCAAAUGGUAGUAUUAUAUGGACUGUAGCUGUGUACCCUCAUGCUUGACGUGUUCUCAAGACACAUGGACAGAGCCAAAAAUGCAUUUACCUGGGCAAUUAUGU